UCAAUCAACCCACACAGGUCAAAUGGAGAAGAUACUACUGAACAUUUGAAUUUCUGCAGAUGUGCAUCCAGAUGAAAAAGUCUACGCAGCAGAUACAGCUUCAGCUCUUGAUUCAGGCUAUCAGAACUCGUAGCCUUCCUGUUUGCACUCAUGGGAGCGGAUGAGGAGCUGGAGGUUGUGUCUUCCCAGCACUUCCUCAGUGAUAUCUGGCCCCCAGUAGCAGCCUCCACCUCGCACCUCGUUGGGGAUGCAGCCAUUUUGGGGCAUUGGGUCGCUCCACAACACGUCCACUAUCUGGGCUCUGGGUCUGAGUCAGAGUCGGACUUUGUCAACUCCACAUAGGACUGGUCGAAUCCAGCAAGCCUGCGCCUCCUUUUCAGCUCUUCCUCCACUGACCAGUUGAGCUGACUGCUCACAGACUGGUUGUGGAGCGAGCGGCGUGGGAGGUCAUGCCUGUAAGCCGAUGCUGAGCUCUUGUAAGUCAGAGACCACACUCGACGUCGGCCUUCAACUGGUUCACUGGUCUCUCCGAUUCUGUUGUUCAUUGUUUGAGUCUUGCUGCCAUUGACUGCUUGAUGCGUUAGCUUGGGAGGUCUGAGAGCUGACACAUACUGCACAUGUUCAAAAAUGCACAGAUUAAAUGCACUUAAUAUCAUCAUCUCGAUAGUAUGUAUGGUUUUGGUGCCUGUGAAAUGCACCGAAUACAUUUGUUGUUGAUGCUGAAGGCCUCUCUUACUUUGUGUCUGUCCACUCUGGCUAUCAUGUCAAGGUCUGUUGUGUCAGAGAUCCCACCGUGCACAAUCAGCACCUUGUGAUCAAUCACUGUGGCCAGGGGCAGCCAGCUGAAAAUCUUCUGGAGAAGCUUCAGGAUCUUCUUGCCAUGCACCUGCAGACCCAUCCAAGCUUAUGACUGGAAGAUGUUCCAUGUGCACCUUCGUCUCAUUUCCAGCCGGGCAACAUACUGACGGUACCAGCGCUGGAUCAACAGAGCUGCUCUGAUUGCUGAAAAUUGGGAGCGAAAACAAAGUACGUGGUCAUAAUCAUGUUCUCUACCACUGUCAACAUACUUUUGACUAUGUCAGAUGUAGAUUCAUGGACUUACCAGUGGCAGCUUUACAGAGUGCAUAGAAAUAGAGUGGAGAUGGCAAAAGUUAUCAAAAUCUGCCAAUUGAGACUUAUUUGCUGUUAUGAACACAAGCUGAAAAGACGUAAUGGAAUAAAACAUUCAUUUACCUGGAACUGAGAUGCUCACUAAGAAUGACAAAUCACAAAGACACUGAAGUUAAAUGAGUGCAAUAAGAAAGAACAUUUCUUUGAAAACUUGACUCUUCACUAGAAUGAUUCUGGUGAGGGGCACACCUUUGUCACAUUUCCUUCGCUGUACUUCUGAUUUUCCCAUGCCGCAUCCCAUGGCCUUUUGCUGCUUUCACUGUCAAAGACAAAAAUACUUUCAUGUGAGAAUGUGAGUUAUCUGACCUUGAACUUGUGUUUGCAACCUUUGAAUAAUAACAUAAUAGUUUAACAAAUUUUUAGAUUAUUCAAUUUUACUACACAUUUCUAUAUUAGAAAAAUUAUUGACAUUUUUUGGUCACAAACAUAACAUCAAAAGAUUUGAACAAUUUAGAGGAAUAAUUUGGCUUACUUAUAAUUACUAGAUGUUUUGCGAAAAUGUGGAUAAAAUAAGCAUUUGAGUAGUUCAUUUCAUGUCUAAAGGGUCUACUGAAAGUAAAUUUGAAAAUAUUGUACAACAGAAAACCGCCAGAUUUGUCCAAAGCAAACCUUACCUGACCA
Long non-coding RNA from Scatophagus argus, 1791 nucleotides. RefSeq lists it as uncharacterized. The transcript has 4 exons. The record is from RefSeq and is a predicted model, not a curated record. Lineage: Eukaryota; Metazoa; Chordata; Actinopteri; Scatophagidae.